RNAcentral lists this ribosomal RNA (378 nucleotides) under uncultured eukaryote. RNAcentral's name for it is "partial 18S ribosomal RNA". It matches the Rfam family "Eukaryotic small subunit ribosomal RNA", at positions 592 to 976 of the family's 1831-position model. The record is from RNAcentral.
CAAUAGCAUAUAUUAAAGUUGUUGCAGUUAAAAAGCUCGUAGUUGGAUUUCGGGUGGGACGCAGCGGUCUCGCAUUGCGUUUGUACUGCUGCAGCCCUCCUUCUUGCCGGGGGCGGCCUCUCGGACUUCACUGUCUGGGGGUCAGAAUCGGCGAUGUUACUUUGAGUAAAUUAGAGUGUUCAAAGCAAGCUUACGCUCUGAAUAUAAUAGCAUGGGAUAACACGACAGGACUCUGGCCUAUCGUGUUGGUCUAUAGGACCAGAGUAAUGAUUAAGAGGGACAGUCGGGGGCAUUCGUAUUCCGUUGUCAGAGGUGAAAUUCUUGGAUUUACGGAAGACGAACAUCUGCGAAAGCAUUUGCCAAGGAUGUUUNCAUUGA